GUCCAGUGUGUCUCUGUCUUGCAAAUCUAUAGUUGUAUUGUCUGAAUGAUAAACCUACUGUUCAUCAGAAUUACCUCAAGUUACCUACAUUAUACCAUUUCCUUGUCAUGAAUAAUUUUGGAACAUUGUUCAUUUCCUUUCAUAUGAAAAUCUAUUUUUAAAAGAUAAUGUGAAGGUAGCCUAUCUGCCAUUUAACUAUUGAUAAGAUAAUUUGCAUUUUUAAAAAAUCCUAGCCUCUCAAGAGAAAAAUGGAGAAGCUGAAAGCCAUUCCCAUCUAAGAACUCAGAGGUGUCAGUUGUUUGCCUGCCGACGCUCUCAUGUGAACUAAGAGAAUGGAACCGGACAUUCGUGAAGUGCUCAGAGACCUAAGUUGCCUAGGCUCGUCUCAAACUCCUGGCCUCAAGUGAUCCUUCUAUCUCAGCCUCUCAAAAUUCUGGGAUUACAGACUUACCCUUUUACUGAAGUCAAUGCAGUUGGCAAAAUAGCAAUAGUCAUUAUUGUUAUAAACAGCAAACAGACCUACCCAUGGAGAUGAAUGAAAAUCAGAACAAUGGAAGCUGAGUAAAUCAAACAUUUGGUGGAAUCAGGGUGAAAGUUUGAUGCCUCUAUCUCCACAUCAGGAAUGGGCUCGCCAAUGGGACCAUGAUAUCAGAAGACAGUUCAUUUGUUUCCACUCAUCCCGGCUGAAGUCUGGAUAAUCACUACCCAUGAUUAUCUGUGACUCCCUUUUUACUUUCCUGGCCAACCAAAAGUCACUGCCCAACCCCUGGCCUGAGUGCCUCUUGCUCAUUAAUCCUUUAAUGUAGUUACUGAAGAGCCUGUUAGUAAAAGCCAUCCUCUCAGCUUGUACUUUGAUCCUUAAAGUCAUAAAGAUCCUUAAAGUCAUCAUUCAAGAGCUGCACCGUAUUUCCAAGUUCUUGUUGAAGGCCUGCCUGUCUGUAACAGCCAGAUAGAAACUAGA
Molecule: long non-coding RNA, 961 nt
Organism: Pan troglodytes (chimpanzee)
Lineage: Eukaryota; Metazoa; Chordata; Mammalia; Primates; Hominidae
Exons: 3
Source: RefSeq, a predicted model, not a curated record